This 3258-nucleotide long non-coding RNA is filed under the name Phoenix dactylifera (date palm). Its description in RNAcentral is "long non-coding RNA (PDAC_LNC000322)". The record is from RNAcentral. Lineage: Eukaryota; Viridiplantae; Streptophyta; Magnoliopsida; Arecales; Arecaceae.
CCGACCAUUUCACCAUGGGAACCAGACAACCAAAAAUAAACUAAGUAAACAAAUGACAUAGAAGUUGUAUCUACGCAAUGAGCAUUGAAAUUUCCAAAGAAACAAGUUUCGUAACAAGAUGGAUGGAAUAAACUAUGAAAGUUGACAGCACACCUAGACCUCACCAAUGGUGUGAUGCCUUAGCACCUUUGGCUGCACUUGGACAGCACACCUUGUACCCCUCAACCACAAUCAUCUAGAAUUUGGCUAUUAUCCUAUGCACUUUUUGUCCAUUUAGAUGCAAAGUCUCUUUUCAGAUGUAAUGCCCUGAAAACAUUUGAUUAGUAUAUAUGACCCACUUUGAGCAGCAUCAGAUGGAAGAGUCUUUCCCUAAGGAAGGAAAAAAGAAAAGAAAAGAAAAGAAAAGGGAAAAAAUAGUUCAUGAAAGAUGCAAAACUUCCAAGAGACAUGGUUUCAUAAGCAAAAUAGAUUCUUAACAAGCAAUGCUACAUGAAACCUUCAAUGCUUAAAUUAUUAUUACUAAUUUUGAAAUAUAGCACCAUGCAUCAUUUCCGUUCUACAUUCUAACUAAUUUAUGAACAGUGGAUUAUGCAGACCGAGUCAUUGCUUUUCCCUUCAAAAAUUUUCACUUAACUUUGCAUUGCAUCAGCAUCCCCACUGUGAUGUCCGGCAUCUGGAACUUUUAAUGUGGGCAAUCGGGUAACAAAAACUAUAGAUAGAAAUUUUAAUGUGGGCCAUCUUUGCCUUCAAGAAUACUCCUUACCUUCCAUUGCUGUGAAGUCGUCACAGAUUCUAUAUCAGCAAGAAAAUCCUAUCCAAAAGGUUUGUGUAGUCAUAAUUAUCUUAUCCAGAUAUCAUUUCCCAUCGAGCAAUACUAGACUAGAUACAAUGCUCCCAAACAACUAGCAAGAAUCAAAGUUAGCUCCUCAGAACUUCCGCCUAUAUGGAAGGCCAACACCCAGGCACAUGACCAUCUAGUUUUACUGCUAAAACUGAUUAAUUAGGCACAAAUCCUGAUUUUUCAUUAUUCCCUUUGAGUGUUGGUUUUAGUUAUAAAAAAAAAAUCCAUCUUUCCUCAAUUUAAUAGACUAAGUCGUUGGGUGUAGACUGUAGACCAAUUUCUACAAGUAAAGACAGGAGUCAUCCUACCAUCUCCGUCUGUAUUCAAAAGUAACAGUUUAAAGAAUUCCAGCCAUAUGCUGAGAGGUUAGCUAUUUUGCCCACCAUUCAACUCUUCUACUUAUAAAAAAUGGAGAUCCAUAUGCAUGUCCCUUCAGAGUUCAGACCAAUGGAGAGCUCCAUUUGGACGCGUGUAGUUUAAGUUUUUUUGUUUUUGGCUCAUAACGUUAUUUUAAGUCAAGACUCCUCUGUAGUUGCGUAGUAUGUGGGCACCUUUUUGAUGUACUAGUAUGUGAACACUUAUUUUGAUGGAAAAAAAACAUUAGAAAUUUAUACCUAGGCCUUGGCUGAUAUCAACCCCUGUACCAAUGUUUAAUAGGUCAAUGGUUAAGUCAAGCCUCCUGCUUUUCAUCAUUUUCCAGUCUUGGAGCCCCAAGAUACUUCUCUCACAUAACAAAUCAGAUUACUUAAAAUUCAAAGAUAGGCAUUACACAGCCCCAAACUUGAUCCAAGUGCCUGAACUGACCUAAUGCAACAUGUUUUAUUGGUCCUUGGAAAUUACCAAGUACAUAAAUAACCUACUUGUAACUCAUGCUUCAAUGGCCUAUCAAGUAAGUCCACACUUAUCAAUUAUACUAUUAUGAAGCAGUCCUAGAUUUAGAACCUUUCAAGCAGCAUUCAUACAACCCAAGCAUGUAUCUUGGCACUCUCUCUCUCUGAAACCAUGCCUUCUAGAACAUUAAAGUGUUGCCUUAUCUAAUGUUAAGAUUCAUAUAAAGAAUGCCAUAGUGAGGAAAAAUCUUCAAAGAUAAGUAUGUCAUUUUUUUUCGAGAUAACAUCAGUAUAUAAAUCUUUCAUUUAUAUUCUAGAUUCAGAGCCUUGGUUAUAAAACAAACAUUAAGCGAGCAUUUGAGAGGGAGUUGCGUAAGAUACUGGGCUAGUUUAGACUAUCAUCAUUAAUUUAAGUAGAAAAAGUACUGAUCGGUCGCAACUCUAAUAAACUUUUCAACGAAAUGUAAUAUUCUGUCCCCAAAUUUGUCCAAAAGAGGGUCACCAUCAUAACGACCUUCACAUGCAUUUCUUUUUCCCCUCCAUUUGGCACCCUUAGCAUAGUUUUAAUUCUCCUAGCCUCUAUUUCUUUUCCCCCCUCCAUUUGGCACCUUCAGCAUAGUCUACUCUUUCUAGCCUAUCUUAUAGAUAAUGAAAGCAACCCACCAUACAUGAUGAUAUCCAUCCAUUAGACCAAGACGAUCAAUUUCAUGCAACAAUGGGAGGAAGAGAAGGUCCCACUCCCAUGGCAACUCACCCAAAAAAAUCCUCCAAGUUCCAAUUUUCAAAGGACCUAUUUUUCUUUUACCUCUACUUUUGUAUCGGACUAAGGAACUCAAAUAAUACCUUCUGACUAGCCACUUUAUAUGUAAGUCGGGACCCGUCAUAAACUCAUAAUUAUCUCCCCAAAUCAGAGGUCGUUGGAUUAAAAGAGAUCAAUUUCCUUUCUCAUAGUUAUCCACCGGCUCACUCUUUUUGUCCCUUAGCGAGUUCAGUUGUGCCCACGGUGACCACUUCUCCAUCAUAUCGUAUGAUUCUAGAAGCUUUUGCCGGUUCCUCCAAAGCCCUCUCUAAUGCCCCCCAACACCAUCCCAUGUUCCAAGGCAUUAAUUUACGCAAAUCAAUGAAAUAUUUUUUUUCUCAUAUUAGUCCGAUUCCUCUACGAGCCUAAUCCUUUUGAAAUUGUCGCCACUCCCCCCACCUCACUCUCUACAAAGUCCCCUCUCUCCCCUUCCACUUCUUCCCUACUUAAACCCCAAGUCCCCAACCCCAUCCUUCCCAUUCCUAAGCUUUCCCCACCACACACUCAUAGAAAGAUUUUAUCAAGAGCUAGUGGAUUAAGAGACAUACAGAUUUAGAUAGAGUAAACCCCACAAAAUCUAUAAAUAGAUAUACAGAUAGGGGUGGUAUUAGAAUGAGAGAGUGUUGUAGUAAUAAGAGAGAAAGAGAGAUGGGAGGAGAAGAAGAGAAGGCUUUGAUUCCGGGCUUACCGGAUGACAUAGCUUUGGACUGCCUCGCCCGAGUCCCCCACCGAUUCCACUCGAGCCUCCGUCCCGUUUGCCGGCGAUGGCGGGAUCUGGUCACCGCCCC